RNAcentral lists this ribosomal RNA (420 nucleotides) under uncultured bacterium. RNAcentral's name for it is "bacterial SSU rRNA". It matches the Rfam family "Bacterial small subunit ribosomal RNA", at positions 62 to 526 of the family's 1533-position model. The record is from RNAcentral.
UCGAGCGGGCGUAGCAAUACGUCAGCGGCAGACGGGUGAGUAACGCGUGGGAACGUACCUUUUGGUUCGGAACAACACAGGGAAACUUGUGCUAAUACCGGAUAAGCCCUUACGGGGAAAGAUUUAUCGCCGAAAGAUCGGCCCGCGUCUGAUUAGCUAGUUGGUGAGGUAAUGGCUCACCAAGGCGACGAUCAGUAGCUGGUCUGAGAGGAUGAUCAGCCACAUUGGGACUGAGACACGGCCCAAACUCCUACGGGAGGCAGCAGUGGGGAAUAUUGGACAAUGGGGGCAACCCUGAUCCAGCCAUGCCGCGUGAGUGAUGAAGGCCCUAGGGUUGUAAAGCUCUUUUGUGCGGGAAGAUAAUGACGGUACCGCAAGAAUAAGCCCCGGCUAACUUCGUGCCAGCAGCCGCGGUAAUAC